Molecule: long non-coding RNA, 1752 nt
Organism: Syngnathoides biaculeatus (alligator pipefish)
Lineage: Eukaryota; Metazoa; Chordata; Actinopteri; Syngnathiformes; Syngnathidae
Exons: 7
Source: RefSeq, a predicted model, not a curated record
CGGAAAGGAAUUUGCGCCCCCCGGAACUACGUAUCCUUUGUCCAUGUUCACCACACGGGCAUCUGUUGCAUACGGGCGCUCUGUGGGACAAGUGGAAAAGCAUUGCCGGAAACGACAGAUUAGCGGCUUUGAAGGAGCGAGCCCAGGACUCCGGGACUCAGCAGGAGCUCGGCUGGAUGUCCCGACCUUAAGAUGGGGCCCCCGCUGACCCUGUAACGGCAUCUGUGCAACCGCCGCCGGACUCACAUGAGGAAAAAUCCAACAAAAGAAGCGCAAGCUGUGGAGCUUCAUGGAGAAAAGAGCUUUGGGGGAGGCCCUGUCACUCCUACAUCUGCUGCAGUGACAGGAGGCCUGCUGAUGCAGCUGCUCUACAGGGCCCUCAAGACCCAAAAAAGCGGUCCAAAAAAAAACAAAAAAACCGCCACAUACAGGCCUGCCGGGACACCGGACUGAGACCACCAUCAGCAGCUUAUCCUCAAGACGGUUGUGGGAGUACUGGAGCCUAUCCCAGCAUUCAACGGGAAGGAGGCAGGGUAGACCCUGGAUCGGUUGCCAACCCACGCAGGCGCGGGGAGGACAUCCAAACUCCACACGGGCGGGGCCGGGAUCGAACCCUGAACUUCAGAACUGGCGAGGUGAGUCCAAGAGACGCUCGGGAUCAAGACCCCCCUCCCACAACCCCCCCCCCCCCCCCCCAACCACCAAGUCGAGCGGCAUGCAGAGUGGGGGAACGAACAGGGUGCCUAAUUGACGGCCCUUUAAAAUUCCCGCAGAGGAGUGAUGGUGCUUUUCAUGUGGGGGCCGUUCCAAUAGAGAAGAGUGACGAGUGACAAGAGCCUCCAUCGCUCUGAAAUCGAACGAAUUUGCACGUGGCUGAGUCGAGGAGCGAACGCGCGGAAUGGGAUCCUGUUUGUGAAAGAGGUGAUGUUGAAUGAACCGCUACAAAAUGGCUACCCCUCAAGAGAAGGCGCAAUGUGUUUCAUGGUUUAUUGAAACAAAAUCGGAUAGGCAGACUCAGCGAAACUACGGAACUAAGUAUGGAAGAGAUCCACCAUCAUCGUCUGUGUACAGAGGCUGCGUUAUACAGAAUAACAAAAGUGUGCUGGUUGCGCCACACGCGUUACGUCAUUUAAGGGUUUUUUUUUCGGGGGGCGUUCGAAUUGACAACAAAACGCGUCGUGUGUGGGUCAGCUGCUUGCGCCGCACGCAUUAUGCUAUUUCCGGUGGAUUUUUUUUCGGUGAGGUGGGAAUUCACAACAAAGCGUGUCGUCGGCCAGCUGGUCUGGCCGCGCGCAGUAUGUUAUUUCUGGGUUUUCUCAGGGGUGUUCGAGGACUGAUUUUCAUUCGAAAACCGAUUUGUUCGAGAAUUGAGGCUUUCCUGUAUAAUGCAUAUACAGGGAGGACGUCACAAAAUUGCAGGCUCAUUAAUUGUAGAUGCCAGUUCUUCGUGUCUGGUGUGACGUAUGAAGUUGUUUGUGUUAACAGCAAUUUUUUAAAUCAUCACGUAUCUGGUAAUUAAUGAGUUAAGCCGCAAUUGUUGUCUAAACCCGCAAAUAAAUACCGGCUCUCAUCGUUAACGCCUCUGACUCACAGUCAAUUUAUGAAGGAAUAUAUUCUGAAAGAGGCUACGACCGCACACAAAUUUACCAGGUGGAAACCUGUCUCCCCAAAUCCUUGUCAAGAACAGCGAUACAGAAAACAGACGGAAAUAUUACAGGGAGUCUGGAAGGGACCUCAGAAAGACCAAGCCGA